This 76-nucleotide transfer RNA is filed under the name Clostridium sp. Its description in RNAcentral is "tRNA-Val". It matches the Rfam family "tRNA". Rfam says of the family: Transfer RNA (tRNA) molecules are approximately 80 nucleotides in length. Their secondary structure includes four short double-helical elements and three loops (D, anti-codon, and T loops). Lineage: Bacteria; Bacillati; Bacillota; Clostridia; Eubacteriales; Clostridiaceae. The record is from RNAcentral. RNAcentral also lists the same sequence under 1 other name.
GGGUGCAUAGCUCAGCUGGGAGAGCACCUGCCUUACAAGCAGGGGGUCACAGGUUCGAUCCCUGUUGUGCCCACCA